RNAcentral lists this ribosomal RNA (455 nucleotides) under Semaeomyia sp. 197. RNAcentral's name for it is "eukaryotic LSU rRNA". The record is from RNAcentral. Lineage: Eukaryota; Metazoa; Arthropoda; Insecta; Hymenoptera; Evaniidae.
CCUGAGAAACCCGAAAGAUCGAACGGGGAGAUUCACCGUCAGCGACGUUGGCUUUUCGGCGGUUCGUGAUGCGCGCGGUGUCCUUUCGGGCGUCCGCGUCGCACGCGUCCGCUGUGUCUCAAUGCCCGGCGGCGUCGGCGUGCACUUCUCCCCUAGUAGGACGUCGCGACCCGUUGGGUGUCGGUCUACGGCCCGGGCUGUCGCCUGUUCCGGACGUUUCGGCGUCGCGGGGCAGACACCCGGUCGCCCGGCCGGCUGCCCGGCGGUACUCGCACGGUAUAUGGCCGCAAUCGAACUGCGUCUCAGGCCCGUUGCAAGCGCGGACAGUGUCACCGGGGUGUGCGGACCUAGCGCCGUUCCUCCGGGCCUGUCCCGUUGUUAGCCGACGGUGUCCUCUGACUGGUCGAAUAUAUGUGAUACCGGUCGGCGACGCUACUGCUUUGGGUACUUUCAGG